Molecule: ribosomal RNA, 301 nt
Filed under: uncultured bacterium
Lineage: Bacteria
Description: partial 16S ribosomal RNA
Rfam family: Bacterial small subunit ribosomal RNA
Source: RNAcentral
CAGUCGCCGCGGUAAUACAGAGGGUGCGAGCGUUAAUCGGAUUUACUGGGCGUAAAGCGUGCGCAGGCGGUUUUGUAAGACAGAGGUGAAAUCCCCGGGCUCAACCUGGGAACUGCCUUUGUGACUGCAAGGCUAGAGUACGGCAGAGGGGGAUGGAAUUCCGCGUGUAGCAGUGAAAUGCGUAGAUAUGCGGAGGAACACCGAUGGCGAAGGCAAUCCCCUGGGCCUGUACUGACGCUCAUGCACGAAAGCGUGGGGAGCAAACAGGAUUAGAUACCCGAGUAGUCCCUGUCUCUUAUAC